GUUUAGAUAGUUUAAUUUAAAGCGUUGGUUUGUGGUGCCUAAGAAGUAGUAUUGUCUACUCUAAACC
This 67-nucleotide transfer RNA is filed under the name Laomedia healyi. Its description in RNAcentral is "tRNA-His". It matches the Rfam family "tRNA". Rfam says of the family: Transfer RNA (tRNA) molecules are approximately 80 nucleotides in length. Their secondary structure includes four short double-helical elements and three loops (D, anti-codon, and T loops). Further hydrogen bonds mediate the characteristic L-shaped molecular structure. tRNAs have two regions of fundamental functional importance: the anti-codon, which is responsible for specific mRNA codon recognition, and the 3' end, to which the tRNAs corresponding amino acid is attached (by aminoacyl-tRNA synthetases). tRNAs cope with the degeneracy of the genetic code in two manners: having more than one tRNA (with a specific anti-codon) for a particular amino acid; and 'wobble' base-pairing, i.e. permitting non-standard base-pairing at the 3rd anti-codon position. Lineage: Eukaryota; Metazoa; Arthropoda; Malacostraca; Decapoda; Laomediidae. The record is from RNAcentral.